CCGGGGUACCGGCCGUAACCAUAAACGGUACAAUAGUCAAAGUCGUAACGGACGUUAACUUACAUUCUUUUAGUAUUGAGAGCGGUUAGUGGCGGACUAGGUGAGUAACACGUAAGCAAACCCUGCCUAUCUAGAGGGGGAAGUAACAAGUGAGAAAUACAUUGCUAAUACCGCAUAUGCUCACAGUAUCACAUGAUACAGUGAGGAAAGGAGUAAUCCGCUGAUAGAUGGGCUUGCGUCUGAUUAGUUAGUUGGUGGGGUAACGGCCUACCAAGACUACGAUCAGUAGCCGGACUGAGAGGUUGAACGGCCACAUUGGGACUGAGAUACGGCCCAGACUCCUACGGGAGGCAGCAGUCGGGAAUAUUGCGCAAUGGAGGAAACUCUGACGCAGUGACGCCGCGUAUAGGAAGAAGGUUUUCGGACUGUAAACUAUUGUCAUUAGGGAAGAUAAAAGACUGUACCUAAGGAGGAAGCCCCGGCUAACUAUGUG
This 493-nucleotide ribosomal RNA is filed under the name uncultured Eubacteriales bacterium. Its description in RNAcentral is "bacterial SSU rRNA". It matches the Rfam family "Bacterial small subunit ribosomal RNA", at positions 62 to 507 of the family's 1533-position model. The record is from RNAcentral. Lineage: Bacteria; Bacillati; Bacillota; Clostridia; Eubacteriales.